UACGUAGGGGGCAAGCGUUAUCCGGAUUUACUGGGUGUACAGGGAGCGUAGACGGCGAUGCAAGCCAGAUGUGAAAGCCCGGGGCUCAACCCCGGGACUGCAUUUGGGACUGUAUAGCUAGAGUGUCGGAGAGGCAGGCGGAAUUCCUAGUGUAGCGGUGAAAUGCGUAGAUAUUAGGAGGAACACCAGUGGCGAAGGCGGCCUGCUGGACGAUGACUGACGUUGAGGCUCGAAAGCGUGGGGAGCAAACAGG
Molecule: ribosomal RNA, 253 nt
Filed under: uncultured bacterium
Lineage: Bacteria
Description: partial 16S ribosomal RNA
Rfam family: Bacterial small subunit ribosomal RNA
Source: RNAcentral